Molecule: ribosomal RNA, 253 nt
Filed under: uncultured bacterium
Lineage: Bacteria
Description: partial 16S ribosomal RNA
Rfam family: Bacterial small subunit ribosomal RNA
Source: RNAcentral
UACGGGGGGAGCAAGCGUUGUUCGGAAUUACUGGGCGUAAAGCGUGCGCAGGCGGUUCGUUAUGUCCGAUGUGAAAGCCCCGAGCUUAACUUGGGAAUGGCAUUGGAAACUGGCGGGCUGGAGUGCGGCAGAGGGGGGUGGAAUUCCACGUGUAGCAGUGAAAUGCGUAGAGAUGUGGAGGAACACCGAUGGCGAAGGCAGCCCCCUGGGCCGACACUGACGCUCAGGCACGAAAGCGUGGGGAGCAAACAGG